RNAcentral lists this ribosomal RNA (254 nucleotides) under uncultured bacterium. RNAcentral describes it as "partial 16S ribosomal RNA". It matches the Rfam family "Bacterial small subunit ribosomal RNA", at positions 524 to 776 of the family's 1533-position model. The record is from RNAcentral.
UACGAAGGUCCCGAGCGUUGUCCGGAAUCACUGGGCGUAAAGGGCGCGUAGGUGGUGGCUUAAGCGUGCGGUGAAAGCUCGGGGCUCAACCCCGAGUCGGCCGUGCGAACUGGGCUCACUGGAGCAUAGUAGAGGCAGGUGGAAUUCCGGGUGUAGCGGUGGAAUGCGUAGAGAUCCGGAAGAACACCGGUGGCGAAGGCGGCCUGCUGGGCUAUGGCUGACACUGAGGCGCGACAGCGUGGGGAGCAAACAGG